Molecule: small nucleolar RNA, 129 nt
Organism: Meriones unguiculatus (Mongolian gerbil)
Lineage: Eukaryota; Metazoa; Chordata; Mammalia; Rodentia; Muridae
Source: Ensembl
CCCGCCCUAGAUGCCUUGGAGGUGUGGCUGCAUGUCACACGUGUGUCAGUAGGUGACAGAGAGGAGAGAGGCCUUGUUAUACUCACUGUUCUGACCUGUGAACAUCUGAGUGAUCAGUAGCCUGGAAUU